UGCGGGGGGGGCAAGCGUUGUUCGGAAUUACUGGGCGUAAAGGGCUCGUAGGCGGCCAACUAAGUCGGAUGUGAAAUCCCCAGGCUCAACCUGGGAACUGCAUCCGAUACUGGAUGGCUUGAAUUCGGGAGAGGGAUGCAGAAUUCCAGGUGUAGCGGUGAAAUGCGUAGAUAUCUGGAGGAAUACCGGUGGCGAAGGCGGCAUCCUGGACCGACAUUGACGCUGAGGAGCGAAAGCCAGGGGAGCAAACGGG
Molecule: ribosomal RNA, 253 nt
Filed under: uncultured bacterium
Lineage: Bacteria
Description: partial 16S ribosomal RNA
Rfam family: Bacterial small subunit ribosomal RNA
Source: RNAcentral